UACCAGACUCCUACGGGAGGCAGCAGUGGGGAAUAUUGCACAAUGGGGGAAACCCUGAUGCAGCGACGCCGCGUGAGUGAAGAAGUAUUUCGGUAUGUAAAGCUCUAUCAGCAGGGAAGAAAAUGACGGUACCUGACUAAGAAGCCCCGGCUAACUACGUGCCAGCAGCCGCGGUAAUACGUAGGGGGCAAGCGUUAUCCGGAUUUACUGGGUGUAAAGGGAGCGCAGGCGGCAUGGCAAGUCUGAUGUGAAAACCCGGGGCCCAACCCCGGGAGUGCAUUGGAAACUGCCAGGCUGGAGUGUCGGAGGGGUAAGCGGAAUUCCUAGUGUAGCGGUGAAAUGCGUAGAUAUUAGGAGGAACACCAGUGGCGAAGGCGGCUUACUGGACGACUACUGACGCUGAGGCUCGAAAGCGUGGGGAGCAAACAGGAUUAGAUACCCCCGUAA
RNAcentral lists this ribosomal RNA (447 nucleotides) under uncultured bacterium. RNAcentral describes it as "bacterial SSU rRNA". It matches the Rfam family "Bacterial small subunit ribosomal RNA", at positions 329 to 793 of the family's 1533-position model. The record is from RNAcentral.